Molecule: non-coding RNA, 202 nt
Filed under: Oscillospiraceae bacterium
Lineage: Bacteria; Bacillati; Bacillota; Clostridia; Eubacteriales; Oscillospiraceae
Description: 6S RNA
Rfam family: 6S / SsrS RNA
About the family: E. coli 6S RNA was the first non coding RNA to be sequenced, but its function was unknown until recently. It consists of 184 nucleotides that fold into an extended hairpin structure with a large single-stranded internal bulge. The 6S RNA specifically associates with RNA polymerase holoenzyme containing the sigma70 specificity factor.
Source: RNAcentral
UAAGUCCUGCCGUGUACGCGGUGUCAUAUUGACUUCUGGCCCAUUAAACCCACAUCUCUAAUAAGGGAUGCCGAUUUGAAUCUGCGGAUUGCAGGCCUCCCGGCCAUGGCCGGACGUUGGAAGCAGCGAAACAGAACUUAGGCGACCCACCUGCUCCGUUGUGCAGGUUAUAAUUGGGCCCCAACGGCACGGCGGGAUCACC